Molecule: transfer RNA, 102 nt
Rfam family: tRNA
About the family: Transfer RNA (tRNA) molecules are approximately 80 nucleotides in length.
GCGUUUGUGGUUUAGUGGUAAAAUCCAUCCUUGCCAUCAGAGGUCAGAAAAUGAUCAGUGAUUAGAUUGGAUGGGCCCCGGGUUCGAUUCCCGGCGAACGCA